This 492-nucleotide ribosomal RNA is filed under the name uncultured bacterium. RNAcentral describes it as "partial 16S ribosomal RNA". It matches the Rfam family "Bacterial small subunit ribosomal RNA", at positions 29 to 507 of the family's 1533-position model. The record is from RNAcentral.
AGUGAACGCUGGCGGUAGGCCUAACACAUGCAAGUCGAACGGCAGCACAGUAAGAGCUUGCUCUUACGGGUGGCGAGUGGCGGACGGGUGAGGAAUAGAUCGGCAUCUACUUUUUCGUGGGGGAUAACGUAGGGAAACUUACGCUAAUACCGCAUACGACCUACGGGUGGAAGCAGGGGAGCUUCGGACCUUGCGCGAUUGUAUGAGCCGAUGUCGGAUUAGCUAGUUGGCGAGGUAAAGGCCCACCAAGGCGACGAUACGUAGCUGGUCUGAGAGGAUGAUCAGCCACACUGGAACUGAGACACGGUCCAGACUCCUACGGGAGGCAGCAGUGGGGAAUAUUGGACAAUGGGCGCAAGCCUGAUCCAGCCAUACCGCGUGGGUGAAGAAGGCCUUCGGGUCGUAAAGCCCUUUUGUUGGGAAAGAAAAGCAGCAGGUUAAUACCCCGCUGUUCUGACGGUACCCAAAGAAUAAGCACCGGCUAACUUCGUG